GGCGAACGGGUGAGUAACGCGUGGAUAACCUGCCCAGAAGUGGGGGACAACCCGGGGAAACUCGGGCUAAUACCGCAUAACACCGAAAGGUCAAAGGGGGCCGCAAGGCUCUCGCUACUGGAGGGGUCCGCGUUCGAUUAGCUAGUUGGUAGGGUAAUGGCCUACCAAGGCGACGAUCGAUAGCCGGCCUGAGAGGGUGAUCGGCCACACUGGAACUGAGACACGGUCCAGACUCCUACGGGAGGCAGCAGUGGGGAAUUUUGCGCAAUGGGCUAACGCCUGACGCAGCAACGCCGCGUGGAGGAUGAAGGUCUUUGGAUUGUAAACUCCUGUCAGCAGGGAAAAAGCGACCUGACCUCAUACGUCAGGAAGUUGAUUGUACCUGCAGAGGAAGCCCCGGCUAACUCUGUGCCAGCAGCCGCGGUAAUACAGAGGGGGCAAGCGUUAUUCGGAAUUAUUGGGCGUAAAGGGCGCGUAGGCGGCCUGGCAAGUGGAAGGUGAAAUCCCUCGGCUUAACCGAGGAACUGCCUCCCAAACUGCUUGGCUUGAGACCGGGAGAGGUGAGUGGAAUUCCCAGUGUAGCGGUGAAAUGCGUAGAUAUUGGGAGGAACACCAGUGGCGAAGGCGGCUCACUGGACCGGUACUGACGCUGAGGCGCGAAAGCGUGGGGAGCAAACGGGAUUAGAUACCCCGGUAGUCC
RNAcentral lists this ribosomal RNA (700 nucleotides) under uncultured bacterium. Its description in RNAcentral is "bacterial SSU rRNA". It matches the Rfam family "Bacterial small subunit ribosomal RNA", at positions 97 to 796 of the family's 1533-position model. The record is from RNAcentral.